GUGAAAUGAUGAUUCAGUUUAUCCAUUCGCUGAGUGUGCUGCACUGACCUUCUUCCAAGCCUGGGUUCCUGUUCUAGGAACUUUGGGUUACGUGGUUGCCAAAUGCCCUGCAGUCUGCUGUGUUCUACUGUGGACGGCUUGUGUGUUGGUGGACUACCGGUAAGAAUGGCUGGUGUCAGCAGGGAUGGGUCCCUGUGGGCUCAUCUCACCAAGAUGAGUGGUGGAAAUCUGAUCAC
Molecule: small nucleolar RNA, 236 nt
Filed under: Capra hircus (goat)
Lineage: Eukaryota; Metazoa; Chordata; Mammalia; Artiodactyla; Bovidae
Description: Small nucleolar RNA SNORD17 (ENSCHIG00000008902.1, ENSCHIG00020010201.1, ENSCHIG00040021343.1)
Rfam family: Small nucleolar RNA SNORD17
About the family: The snoRNA HBI-43 belongs to the C/D family of snoRNAs, guiding 2'O-ribose methylation at position U3797 of the 28S rRNA. Pseudouridylation in position U3797 is predicted to be guided by the H/ACA snoRNA ACA48.
Source: Rfam by way of RNAcentral